Molecule: long non-coding RNA, 219 nt
Filed under: Elaeis guineensis (African oil palm)
Lineage: Eukaryota; Viridiplantae; Streptophyta; Magnoliopsida; Arecales; Arecaceae
Description: long non-coding RNA (EGUI_LNC079847)
Source: RNAcentral
CAGGUGCGUCGAACCGUCGGACCGAGGAAGGGCCCCGGCGCUGCCAUAUGUCGACAUCCGAAAAACCCUCGUUCGAUGUGCUUUCAUCUCGACCGUCGAAGGGUCUUAUAUAUAUGCGGCCAUUUACAUCCAAAACUUUACUUUUUGCUGCAAAUCUGUUCCUGACGCUGAGGCCCUGUCGAAUUGUCCCCCAGUUCUAGGUACUUGUUUUCGUCCUCU